ACAACAAGAGGAUGAGAACAUAGCUCUUAGAUUGGGGGAGCAAAUUUUAGAAUUCUCUAGAAUUCUCUAGUAUUUUAACACUGUAACCUAAUACAAAAGCACCAUCCACCCAAAUGUGAAGUGUCAUCACGAUGGCAUCCAUUCCCCUAAGUUUCUUUCAGCAAUGUGACCUGAGAACCAACCCUCAAUGAAUACUACUGAAAUGUACACUUAAAAAUGGUUAAAAUCGGCCACCUGCGGUGGCUCACUGCCUCUUUUGCCACCAUUCUGAGUCCACUCAUUCUAGAGAAAUUAAAAGCAAAAAGACGAGUUGUAUUUCUUCAUGGAAACAAUUCCCUCUCCACGGGCGGCUGCUAACACGGAGCUGUAGCGGUAUGAAAGGGCUCCUUCCUAAGCCUGUCAGGGGUCGGCAGACGGCUGUUAUGCUGUUGGUGCCACCGACAGCCCCAGUACUCUGGGAGGACAGAAUCCCUUUCAGCUGUGGAAUGCCUUUCAUCCUCCGUGUUGAAAAGCUCUGUAGAAAUCAGGCCAGGGCUUGUGAAGCGCAAUUCAAGCCCAGGCCCAAACAGCCCAAAGAGCCUGCUGUGGCAGAAGUCUGCAUGGAAACCUACCCUCCCCGUCCCUGCUAAAGCCUCCUUGUACUUUCUUCCACUUGCAUUUCCAUAUCCCUGACCCAUCUACAGGGCUCGGAAAAAGCCUUUUCACACGUGAUAUGUUCAGAUAAGUUAAA
This 730-nucleotide long non-coding RNA is filed under the name Pan troglodytes (chimpanzee). RNAcentral's name for it is "long non-coding RNA NONPTRT015004". Lineage: Eukaryota; Metazoa; Chordata; Mammalia; Primates; Hominidae. The record is from RNAcentral.